GGUCGUGACUCAGCAUGAUAUAAGAGUCUCACCAGGGUUCGAAUAACGAUAUUGGUACCCUGAAAGAUGGAAAUUGUUUCACUUCUACUUACCAAUGAAACCAAUGAAAAUUGGUAUGUGAAUUUCAGAGGAGAUUAGCUAGUCUUCGUCUGACUUGACAUAGGAGUUAGUGCUCCUUGCCAAGUUUACAAGUUUAAACGUAAACUUGGUGUUGUCCCGGGAUAUUUCCUGGUCACGGUUGUCGGGUUCUGCCCAUCACAGGGAAUCAUGCCUCUGGAGGUAAUCUUAAUUACCUCUUUUUU
This 302-nucleotide long non-coding RNA is filed under the name Arabidopsis lyrata. Its description in RNAcentral is "long non-coding RNA (ALYR_LNC000068)". Lineage: Eukaryota; Viridiplantae; Streptophyta; Magnoliopsida; Brassicales; Brassicaceae. The record is from RNAcentral.